Molecule: long non-coding RNA, 604 nt
Organism: Pteronotus mesoamericanus
Lineage: Eukaryota; Metazoa; Chordata; Mammalia; Chiroptera; Mormoopidae
Exons: 3
Source: RefSeq, a predicted model, not a curated record
ACGAGGAGGGCGGAGCGAGGGGGAGCGGAGUAGCAAGUAUCGCGAGAACUCCCACGGCUGAAAGGAAAAUUAGUGUUUUGUGGUUAAAGCUGUAGUCUGAGAAGACAAUGAGAAAACCAACAAACCCAUCUGGCCAAAGCGCAGUUUGUCGGCGCGCCUGUCCAAAACAGCUUGGAGGAAAACACAGCGGUCAGCUAUAGGCCUUGGCUCUUAUCAAGGACCGUAGGGCUGGGAUUGGUCAUGACGUCACCUAGUGGCACAGCGUGGAAACCUGGCGGAGGAGUUUCGGCACACUUGGUUUAAAAAGAGCUUUGUUGUCCUUCUCCGACAAGGAAUUUAGACACUGGAACCUGGAAGAGGCCAGUCCCUCUGCUGACCUGUGAAUCUCCAAUAUGUGACACCCAGGAGUUGCUUGCCAUGAUGUUUUGUACUAGGUAGACUAAGAAGGAAAAGAAGCAGGAGCCAGAUGGAUUGAGAGGAGCAGAAAGGAGAGUACAGAGAGACAGAGGAAGCAGACCCUGCAGCUGCCAUCAUCCUGACUCCGCCCUGCCCCGUUGUGAGCGGGGGCUGGGUGAAUGAGAGGCACCAACAGGAAGUCAGAAGG